RNAcentral lists this ribosomal RNA (477 nucleotides) under uncultured bacterium. Its description in RNAcentral is "bacterial SSU rRNA". It matches the Rfam family "Bacterial small subunit ribosomal RNA", at positions 28 to 523 of the family's 1533-position model. The record is from RNAcentral.
GAUGAACGCUGGCGGCGUGCUUAACACAUGCAAGUCGAACGUGAUCCAUUAGCAAUAGUGGUGAAAGUGGCGAACGGGUGAGUAACACGUAGAUAACCUACCCUGAAGCGGGGAUAACGAUUGGAAACGGUCGCUAAUACCGCAUGAGCCUAUUGAAGCGGGAGUGAGAUAGGGAAAAUUCAGGUGCUUUAGGCGGGGUCUGCGUUCGAUUAGCUAGUUGGUGAGGUAACGGCUCACCAAGGCGACGAUCGGUAGCUGGUCUGAGAGGACGAUCAGCCACACGGGAACUGAGACACGGUCCCGACUCCUACGGGGGGCAGCAGUGAGGAAUAUUGGGCAAUGGGCGGAAGCCUGACCCAGCAACGCCGCGUGGAGGAUGAAGGCCUUCGGGUCGGUAAAACUCCUUUUGACGGGGAAGAGGAAGGACGGUACCCGUCGAAUAAGUCACGGCUAACUACGUGCCAGCAGCCGCGGUAA